This 468-nucleotide ribosomal RNA is filed under the name uncultured bacterium. Its description in RNAcentral is "partial 16S ribosomal RNA". It matches the Rfam family "Bacterial small subunit ribosomal RNA", at positions 28 to 507 of the family's 1533-position model. The record is from RNAcentral.
GACGAACGCUGGCGGCGUGCUUAACACAUGCAAGUCGAACGGAAAGGCCCUGCUUUUGUGGGGUGCUCGAGUGGCGAACGGGUGAGUAACACGUGAGUAACCUGCCCUUGACUUUGGGAUAACUUCAGGAAACUGGGGCUAAUACCGGAUAGGAGCUCCUGCUGCAUGGUGGGGGUUGGAAAGUUUCGGCGGUUGGGGAUGGACUCGCGGCUUAUCAGCUUGUUGGUGGGGUAGUGGCUUACCAAGGCUUUGACGGGUAGCCGGCCUGGGAGGGUGGACGGCCACCUUGGGCCUGAGGGACGGCCCAGACUCCUACGGGAGGCAGCAGUGGGGAAUAUUGCACAAUGGGCGGAAGCCUGAUGCAGCAACGCCGCGUGCGGGAUGACGGCCUUCGGGUUGUAAACCGCUUUCGCCUGUGACGAAGCGUGAGUGACGGUAAUGGGUAAAGAAGCACCGGCUAACUACGUG